UUUCCUAAUAUUCAAAAAGGUUAUCGAUAUGAUGAGUAAAAAGAAGCAUCUGACUGAAGAAGGAUGGAAAAGAAUUCUCGAACUUGCUGGCAAAACGAAUCGUAGAAAAAACCGUUUUUAGAAUCCCCAGAGACUAUACGUCGAACCCGAAGCACAUAAAGUUUAUGUGCUCGGUGAAGAUAUAGUCCGAACUGCAUAGCGAUAUGCAG
Molecule: non-coding RNA, 209 nt
Filed under: Candidatus Collierbacteria bacterium GW2011_GWA2_46_26
Lineage: Bacteria; Candidatus Collieribacteriota
Source: RNAcentral